GAAUUCGAUUCAGGCCCAACACAUGCAAGUCGAACGGCAGCACGGACUUCGGUCUGGUGGCGAGUGAAGAACGGGUGAGUAAUGCAUCGGAACGUGCCCAAUCGUGGGGGAUAACGUAGCGAAAGUUACACUAAUACCGCAUACGAUCUAAGGAUGAAAGCGGGGGAUCGCAAGACCUCGCGCGAAUGGAGCGGCCGAUGUUAGAUUAGGUAGUUGGUGGGGUAAAGGCUCACCAAGCCGACGAUCUAUAGCUGGUCUGAGAGGAUGAUCAGCCACACUGGGAUUGAGGCGCGGCCCAGACUCCUACGGGAGGCAGCAGUGGGGAAUUUUGGACAAUGGGCGCA
RNAcentral lists this ribosomal RNA (344 nucleotides) under uncultured bacterium. Its description in RNAcentral is "bacterial SSU rRNA". It matches the Rfam family "Bacterial small subunit ribosomal RNA", at positions 43 to 379 of the family's 1533-position model. The record is from RNAcentral.